UUGCCCUAUACAGUUGCCUUUCUCUUUUUCCCUAAUAAUUUUGAUAACAAUGUGAAAUAUUUCUCUUUAUAUAUCAGGUCUUGCCCUAUGCAGAACAGCAUAACAAGACUAGCUAGCUAGAUACUUCUUCCUCUCAUCUAUUUUUCAAGAAAAUUUCAAAAACUCUUUGAUAAUGGCUCUUUCAUGUAGCUUACUGCCCAAAACCAUGGUAAAAUUUCCCAGCUUCAAGAUCAAGCCAUGUCUACUCAAGACAAUAAUAUCCAUGAGAUGCAUGACUACAACAAGGAGGCCACCACCAAGGCCAGCCAUAAAAACUAAACCACCACAAAACAAUAAUUUCAAAGACAAGAAAGAGACUCUGAUGACAGAGGAGAAAAGUAACAUAAAGCUCCAAGAAGAUAAUUCCAUGGUCAAAGCAAAUUGACCAGGAAUCCUGUUUGUUAAAUAUCAUAAUAAAUUAUUUGUACUUGGUCUAAAGGUGGUCAAAGUACAAAAUGCUUUUGUUAUUAGGGAAACUUUAGUAGCAGCAAACUGGUCCAUUAGUUUCCUACCAACAUAUGAAAACUACGUAGUAUGAUACUUUAUUUUGUAGUAGGUGCUUGCAGGUGAAAUUCACGGCACUAUUUAGCUCCUCUUUUGAAAAUAACCAAUUUUGAAAUUUAUGACAUUGAUUAUUUUUCAGAAAUAGAGCUGAAAAGUGACAAGUGAAGUGAUAUUUCUACCGUGCUUGUAUUGUCCUUGAGGUUUCUAUUUUCCUUUGGUUAUAUAUAUAUUGUAAUGUAGAACUCUACGUGUUGCUUUGAAUGUUGCAUAUAUGUACAAUGUAACUGAAGUUUAGAGUAAUUAGUUCCACAACAUGUUUUGAAGCUUUAGA
Molecule: long non-coding RNA, 874 nt
Organism: Solanum dulcamara
Lineage: Eukaryota; Viridiplantae; Streptophyta; Magnoliopsida; Solanales; Solanaceae
Exons: 2
Source: RefSeq, a predicted model, not a curated record